RNAcentral lists this ribosomal RNA (253 nucleotides) under uncultured bacterium. RNAcentral describes it as "partial 16S ribosomal RNA". It matches the Rfam family "Bacterial small subunit ribosomal RNA", at positions 524 to 776 of the family's 1533-position model. The record is from RNAcentral.
GACAGAGGGUGCAAACGUUGUUCGGAAUUACUGGGCGUAAAGAGCGUGUAGGCGGCAGCGUAAGUCGGGCGUGAAAGCCUUCGGCUCAACCGAAGAACGUCGGCCGAUACUGCCGUUCUUGAGGGAUGCGGAGGAGACUGGAAUUCCCGGUGUAGCGGUGAAAUGUGUAGAGAUCGGGAGGAACACCGGUGGCGAAGGCGGGUCUCUGGGCAUCUCCUGACGCUGAGGCGCGAAAGCGUGGGGAGCAAACGGG